RNAcentral lists this ribosomal RNA (1245 nucleotides) under metagenome. RNAcentral's name for it is "bacterial LSU rRNA". It matches the Rfam family "Bacterial large subunit ribosomal RNA", at positions 1564 to 2818 of the family's 2925-position model. The record is from RNAcentral.
UGAAUACGAGACGCUAAGGCGUUGAAGUAGUGUAUGUCAUACUUCCAAGAAAAGCUUGCACUGUCAUAGAUAAAAAACGCCUGUACCAUAACCGACACAGGUGGGUAGGUAGAGUAUACUAAGGGGCGCGAGAUAACUCUCUCUAAGGAACUCGGCAAAAUAGCUCCGUAACUUCGGGAGAAGGAGUGCCUUAUUUAUAAGGCUGCAAUAACAAGAUCCAAGCAACUGUUUAUCAAAAACACAGGUCUCCGCCAAGUCGUAAGACGAUGUAUGGGGGCUGACGCCUGCCCAGUGCCAGAAGGUUAAAGAAGUUGGUUAGCAAUAGCGAAGCUGAUAACUGAAGCCCUGGUGAACGGCGGCCGUAACAAUAACGGUCCUAAGGUAGCGAAAUUCCUUGUCGGGUAAGUUCCGACCCGCACGAAAGGCGUAAUGAUUUGGAUACUGUCUCGGAGAGGGGCUCGGUGAAAUAGACUUGUCUGUGAAGAUGCGGACUACCUGCACCAGGACAGAAAGACCCUAUGAAGCUUUACUGUAACUUGAAAUUGAAAUUGGACUUUAUUCGCGCAGUAUAGGUGGGAGGCGUUGAUUGUAAUCUUGCGGGAUUAUUGGAGCCAUCAGUGAGAUACCACCCUUGUAAUGUUAGAUUUCUAACUUUGAAUCAUUAUCUGGUCAAAGAACAGUUUCAGGCGGGCAGUUUGACUGGGGCGGUCGCCUCCUAAACGGUAACGGAGGCGUACAAAGGUUUCCUCUGAACGGUUAGAAAUCGUAUCUAGAGUGUAAAGGCAUAAGGAAGCUUGACUGUGAGACCUACAAGUCGAGCAGGGACGAAAGUCGGUCUUAGUGAUCUGACGGUACUGAGUGGAAAGGCCGUCACUCAACGGAUAAAAGUUACUCUAAGGAUAACAGGCUGAUCUCCCCCAAGAGUUCACAUCGACGGGGAGGUUUGGCACCUCGAUGUCGGCUCAUCGCAUCCUGGGGCGGUAGUACGUCCCAAGGGUUGGGCUGUUCGCCCAUGAAAGCGGUACGCGAGCUGGGUUCAGAACGUCGUGAGACAGUUCGGUCCAUAUCCGGUGUAGGCGUUAGAAUAUUGAGAGGAGCCUUCUUUAGUACGAGAGGACCGAGAAGGACAUACCUCUGGUGUACCAGUUAUCGUGCCAACGGUAAACGCUGGGUAGCUAUGUAUGGAGUGGAUAACCGCUGAAAGCAUCUAAGUGGGAAGCCCACCUCAAGAUAAGUAUUCUCAUC